RNAcentral lists this ribosomal RNA (1506 nucleotides) under Clostridium fallax. RNAcentral describes it as "bacterial SSU rRNA". It matches the Rfam family "Bacterial small subunit ribosomal RNA". The record is from RNAcentral. Lineage: Bacteria; Bacillati; Bacillota; Clostridia; Eubacteriales; Clostridiaceae.
AGAGUUUGAUCCUGGCUCAGGACGAACGCUGGCGGCGUGCUUAACACAUGCAAGUCGAGCGAGAGAGUUUUCUUCGGAAAACAAUCUAGCGGCGGACGGGUGAGUAACACGUGGGUAACCUGCCUCAUAGAGGGGGAUAGCCUCCCGAAAGGGAGAUUAAUACCGCAUAACAUCAUUUUAGCGCAUGCUGAAAUGAUCAAAGGAGUAAUCCGCUAUGAGAUGGACCCGCGGCGCAUUAGCUAGUUGGUGAGGUAACGGCUCACCAAGGCCACGAUGCGUAGCCGACCUGAGAGGGUGAUCGGCCACAUUGGGACUGAGACACGGCCCAGACUCCUACGGGAGGCAGCAGUGGGGAAUAUUGCACAAUGGGGGAAACCCUGAUGCAGCAACGCCGCGUGAGUGAUGACGGCCUUCGGGUUGUAAAGCUCUGUCUUUAGGGACGAUAAUGACGGUACCUAAGGAGGAAGCCACGGCUAACUACGUGCCAGCAGCCGCGGUAAUACGUAGGUGGCAAGCGUUGUCCGGAUUUACUGGGCGUAAAGGGAGCGUAGGUGGAUUCUUAAGUGAGAUGUGAAAUACCCGGGCUUAACUUGGGUGCUGCAUUUCAAACUGGGAAUCUAGAGUGCAGGAGAGGAAAGUGGAAUUCCUAGUGUAGCGGUGAAAUGCGUAGAGAUUAGGAAGAACACCAGUGGCGAAGGCGACUUUCUGGACUGUAACUGACACUGAGGCUCGAAAGCGUGGGGAGCAAACAGGAUUAGAUACCCUGGUAGUCCACGCCGUAAACGAUGGAUACUAGGUGUGGGAGGUAUCAACUCCUUCCGUGCCGCCGUUAACACAUUAAGUAUCCCGCCUGGGGAGUACGGUCGCAAGAUUAAAACUCAAAGGAAUUGACGGGGACCCGCACAAGCAGCGGAGCAUGUGGUUUAAUUCGAAGCAACGCGAAGAACCUUACCUAGACUUGACAUCUCCUGAAUUACUCUUAAUCGAGGAAGUCCCUUCGGGGACAGGAAGACAGGUGGUGCAUGGUUGUCGUCAGCUCGUGUCGUGAGAUGUUGGGUUAAGUCCCGCAACGAGCGCAACCCUUAUUGUUAGUUGCUACCAUUUAGUUGAGCACUCUAGCGAGACUGCCCGGGUUAACCGGGAGGAAGGUGGGGGAUGACGUCAAAUCAUCAUGCCCCUUAUGUCUAGGGCUACACACGUGCUACAAUGGCUGGUACAAAGAGAAGCAAGACCGUGAGGUGGAGCAAAACUCAAAAACCAGUCCCAGUUCGGAUUGUAGGCUGAAACUCGCCUACAUGAAGCCGGAGUUGCUAGUAAUCGCGAAUCAGCAUGUCGCGGUGAAUACGUUCCCGGGUCUUGUACACACCGCCCGUCACACCAUGAGAGUUGGCAAUACCCGAAGUCUGUGAGCUAACCUGUAAAGGGGGCAGCGGCCGAAGGUAGGGUCAGCGAUUGGGGUGAAGUCGUAACAAGGUAGCCGUAGGAGAACCUGCGGCUGGAUCACCU